AGUCAGUACAUCGGCUAGACUUACUUCUCAGCUUGGCUUCCCAGUGGCAUAGACUAUAAGGAAAAAAGCAACACAACUGUCACUGCUUCAGCUGUGAAAGACUGUGACAGGCCAAAGAAGAAAAAGGCCCAAAAUGAAACAACGGAUAAGGAAGCAAGUGAAACCCAAGUUGUACAUAAAAAGAGGAAAACUGAAAUUAAACAGAAAAAGAAACCAGUUAAAUAACUCAAUUUCUGUAUUCAUUUAAUACAUUUAUUCUCUGUACAUGUUUAUUCUCUUAAUUAAAUAGUUGAAAAGUUAAGGGAUAGUAAUUUAUUUUUUAAUAUGCAAUAACAUGCUAAUGCAAUAUCAUUAUUUGAAUACUAAAUAUCUGCUUUUGGUAUCACUAAAGGUAUAUCCUACUCUCUUUUUUGUUAUGCAGCACACCCUUUUCAUGCACACACCAAAACAAGCUAAUUAAGAAAUGUGCAACAGGCCCUAUGGUGCUUGAAAUGUUUUCUGCUGUUUAACCAUUGGGCCAGACCUACUUGUCAUUUUACUCCUCCUCAGGACACCACAGCAAAAGAACCCUUUCCACAUUUUACCCCUUUAAACUUCCCAUCGCUUAUGCAAUCGUGGCACCUGGUCAAGGUUAUUACUGUUUCAUUCACUUGAGAAAAAUGUUAUUCAUGCUCCAUUAAUUUAUUAGUCAUCUAGUUCAACAGCUGAAAUGCAGUGGCUGUAUUUAAUAAAAUUGAUGUUUUAUAUUU
Long non-coding RNA from Xenopus laevis (African clawed frog), 749 nucleotides. RefSeq lists it as uncharacterized. The record is from RefSeq and is a predicted model, not a curated record. The transcript is spliced from 2 exons. NCBI's taxonomy places the organism in Eukaryota, Metazoa, Chordata, Amphibia, Anura, Pipidae.